Drosophila yakuba is the source of this 21790-nucleotide long non-coding RNA. RefSeq lists it as uncharacterized. Lineage: Eukaryota; Metazoa; Arthropoda; Insecta; Diptera; Drosophilidae. The record is from RefSeq and is a predicted model, not a curated record. The transcript has 2 exons.
GUCAAACAAAAAAUAAUUGCUCAUAUUCACAGUCACAUUUGUGUGUAUUUUUAGCCAUGGAGCAGGUGUAGCCAUCAACUAUUAAACAGCCAAAUGCAACCGACACUUUGGACAGAGUUUUCAUCGUGUAAAUAUUAAUAACAACUUUUCACUUUUCGCACAGCGGAAAGUGUCACUCAAAGUCAAGAGAGGAACGAUUUUCCGUACACUUCUCGUAUCGACCAAACAAUUUUGACGUCAAUGGCAUAAGGUGAGCCUCAAGGAUAGUUUUAUUUGCAACGCCAAAGCGAAAAACAAAAAAAAACAGAAAACAGCAAACAAAUUGAGCAGUUAAAAGCCAAAUUAAUGGCCACGAUUAAAGCCGGCUGUAGGUUUAGUAUCAAUUCGGGUUUUAAAUUCGAUUCAAGCUUUCAUUCAUCAAAUUUGACAGGCGCGAAAGUGGAAUUCUUUUUGGCAGGCACAUUAAUACGUAGUCAAAUACCACAGAUUGGAUAGCGAAAGAGAUUUAAAUGGAUUAUUUAAUUAAAAAUACGAGUGUCGAUACUUUAAGCUACCAUUUAACCUGUAUUACACAUAAGUUGAUCACUGGGAAUACUUUUGAUAAUAGAAAACUAAACAGCAAUGUUAUUGGGCUAUUUCCUGCAAUACUAAAAGAUCGAAGACAUCAAUGCGGCUGACAUCUGUGAAAGUGAAAUUCCGAUGUGCUAAUGAAGCUCACAGCAAAGAGAAAAUGGCAUUACACAAAUAGAAAAGGAGAGAGAAAGAUAAGACCGAGAGGGCGGCACUCUGAUAAAACCAACGUGCCUCGAAUCAACACAACUUGGCUCAAAGCAGACAACUGCUGUUGUAAACCGCUUUCAGGAAUUUACCGGCAGCGCCUCGGUUUUGGUUUUUUUUCUUCUGCUUUUUUUUUUCCUCUUCCAGUCGGAUCUCUUUUAAUGCGCCAUUGUUUGGGAGGAGAUUUCCCAAGGCCUUGCAACGACUAAAACCGCGAAUGAGACAUAAAUCUGGCAUCGCCUUGGCUGCCUCAGCCGCUGACUAAACUGUGACUAAAUGCAGUUAAAGCUGGGACCCAUCGGCCAACCGGGCAACAAACAGCUGUACUUUUCAUAAUUACCAGCUAUUAAAAUCUUGCCAGCAUCUAAAGCGAAUUAAAAGAGUGAAGGCUGUCCGUGAGCCAGCUGCUUUUCGGGGAAGUCCGUAGUCCGCAAGAACCGAAGAACCGAAGAACCUUUCCCAAAACUAAGAAUUGGACAAGACAAAAGCAAAAGCUAAAAGAUUAAUUAUAAAUGGUAUUCAUGGUAUUAAGAGGCACAAAAAACCGCCCAGCUGUUUGACGACCAGCUCUCUGUCUUUUUCAUUAUUAUUUUUUUAUUUUUCACUGCUCGGUUUCGAUUGUGUUUAAUAAUCAGAUAUUGGGCUCGACUUCUGCGGUUACUGGCUGCUGUGCGAUUGGCAGACAAUGACCUUUCAACAUGCCGCUUCAGUGCUCACUCAACUGAAGUCUGUAGCACAGAUACAAUUAAACAUUUUCAUAUUUUUUUCUUAUUUGUAUGUUGUAUGGAUAGUGGUGACUGACUUGAAGUACGUAUAAAUCUCGAGUGUAUAUUCAAUUUAAAAUGCAUUUUUCGCAAUUUGUUUUAGCUGUUCGUUUGCAUGAUCUAGCCGCGGAGUCGUGAUUUGCAGUGGCAAAUAUUUGUCUGUCUAAUUUCAACAUUAAUUUCUGCCAUGCAAAACAGAAAAACACAAAACUCAACUGCUGGCGAGCGAAUUAAUUGAGCUGGCGACUUUGGAGCUGCCGCAUUUAUUUAUUACAGUAGUCGCAUAUUUUAUUUUAUAAGCUUUUGUAUUCGCUGUGUUGUUCAGCUCCUUUUUUUUUUUUGCAUUUUAGCUUGUUUGACUAGCCAGCCAUGCAAUCUUGAUUGUACACAGAAACUAAUUUUAAUGCCUUUGAAACGAGAUUGUUUUGGAAUCUUUGAUUAGCAAUUUUUCUGAAUACACACCCUGUCAUUGUUUUUCCUAUAAAUAACUAUAUUUAUUCAUAUGAAUUUAUAUUAUAUGGCAUUUUUUGCAGUGCACAGGUUCCCAUUGUUGCGAAUUACCUGCUCUCUGCAGCUUUAUCGAUAGUAGCCUUGGGAACAUCUAUUUACCUACCGGGUGUUGUAAUUGCCCGUCUAUUAAUAAUGAUUACCAGCAAAUGUGAGUGCGAAUGCGAUGUCUGGCCGUUGAUUAGCUGGGGUUCUGACAUUUUCUAGCAUCGAGUCAAUGCUAUUUAUGUAUGUUGCCUGGCUCCCUGCUUAUUUAUAGACCUGAUUCUAAACACGUCUCUUAAUGUUGCCACUCUUUGUUGCUUCUACUUCUAGCUCUGCUUGUGCUUCAGUUGCUGCUGCAGAUGCAGAUGCAGUUGCAGUUGCAGAGGCAGAGGCAGAGGCAGAGGCAGUUGCGUUUCGCCUUCAUGGGAAGUGCAUUGAAACGAAAUGAGUGCAAAUCAGCAAUGGCAACGGGGCGUAUGAGCAACAAUGCACAGAAGCAGUGGCGGCGAGCAAAACAAAGGCCUGCCUGGCAUAAUAAACAGCUGCAAAGUAGCACGAAACGGCAACGGCAGCUGGCAAAGGAAAAUGGCAGAAACAAAAAUGAAAGCCAUCUUCAGCAUAAAAUCGAAGUUGUAUCACUCUUUCUAGACUGAGCCAUAAAACCGAAUUUAUUAACGCUGUAUGCCACUUAAGGAGCGUACAGAAGAACAGAUAACUAAGUAAUGUAUAUUCAUUUUAUAAUUUAUGGACAUAUAACAUGAUUAUUCUUUUUAUAAACAAAUUUGGGUCAGUAUAACCAACUAUUUAAAAUCAUUCUGAUAAUAUCGCACUCAUAGUUGACUAGUUCACACCUCGAUACUUUUGCUUGUUUUUUGUUUCAAUAACAAUCAAUUUGCCUAACGAGGCACAUGUUCAAUACGCACAUUGUGCACGCUUUGCAGAUUUGGCACCAACUUUUACUGAUAAAUCUCCCACUAAAUACAACAAAUGUAAUAGCACCCGCAAACUUGGCAAGGGCAUGAGAAAUAAAGUUAUUAUUUCGAAUGAGCGCUGUGCGCUGGAAAAAUAAAAAAACAGAAGCGAGUGAAAAUAUUUCAACAAUUUUGCGGUGCAGUUGCAACUUGGUUAUUGUGUAGACUUCGUAAUUUGCAUGCCAAACGCAGCAGAAACAAGACAACAAGACAAGAAGAAAGCCAAAACAAUAAACUACAAAUUAUAAAAAAUGGCAAAGAAAUGCGAGUGGCUAAUAAGCAACAUGAAAGAGCAGUGAACUUUUGCCCGAGGAAAGUGAAAACUCUGGUGAUGUAAAUGAAAAGCACGUUGGCGAUAUUCGCUAGUACUAGUAUUAAAAAAAGAAAUAUUUAUACUACCUGGGUUCUUUAAUCACAUUUACGAUUUGUCAACGAGAAAGUGCCCGCAAGCGAUGCUUUUAUUCUCCUCUUUUAUUAAUAUAUUUUUUGAUUGCGUUUUUUGUGGCCCGAAGCUGGCACGUUUUCCAUCAUUAAAAAUUAUGAUUGUGUCGUUAAUGCAAUGCUAAUGAGAUGCCAUUACGGUUAUGGCCCACACAUUGCCAAAAAGUGAAGAUUUCUCUUGGGCCAUUGUGUGACUACGUCAACUAUGGUGUACUAUGGUACUAUGGUAUUCUCGGUCUGUGGGUAUAGCCCAGUUAUUAGCCAUGCAACAGCGUUGAUAAUUAACACCUUUCGGCGCACACACACACAUAUAAUAUAGCCACUUAAUUAAUUGCACGGCCGACGUGCAAGUGACAACCACGUAUCUUAGCCAGUUUAAACGAAGGCGGAAGUGCGCGGCGCUUAGUCAGCAGCCAAGAUGGCUGCGUUGACGCAUGCAAAUGAUCCCACGAAAGACACAGACAGUGCCACAGGAGGACAGCGAAUUAAUAAAUAAAUGUUACUUACUAUUACUUAAACUAGGCCAUAGUAGGUUAAUAUAGAAAUGGCAUUAAAAUGCCAGAAUUGAAAGAUAUCUCCUUACUAAUUAAGUUAGCAAUCCGACAUCCUAAUUUCAUAAGAUUUACUUCCAUGAGCAACUGAAUUUUCGGAUAAGUAGUUUAAAUUGAUGUAAUCCUCCAACCAACUCCCACUAUUAUUUUGACCGCAUCUGUUUGAGCAGCCCGUAACUAACACUCCAAGGUAUUUAAUUUAUUUACGAACCCUGCAGUGCCCGCUGAUUGAGGUUCAACAAACUUGGUGUUGCAGGUUGCAGGUUGCAUGGCCAAGUGGACAAACGGUGGCCAGUGGUUGGUGGCUAGUGGCAAGUAGCUGCUUGCUGGUGGCCAGUGGGCAAUGGGCAAUGGCAAAUGGGAAAAGUGGCAAGUGGCAAGUGGCAAGUGGCAAGUGGAUGGCCAGGCCAGGCUAACCAGCUAACCAGCCAAGCGGCCAGCCCAAGCACUUUGCUUAUUAAAGUACAACAGCCGUCGUACAUCAGGCGAAAUUUAUUAUGAUGAUGUUGUGUGCAUAAGGCCAGGUAAGAAAAACAAUAAUAAUAAUAACAACACCAACAGCAACACCAACAGGUAACAAUGAGGGAAAUUUAUUAUCGCUACGGCAUCGAAUGCUUUUGCCAUUGGCUUUGGUUUUGGAUUUGCUUAGCCACCACAGUCGAAGUUGCACAUUCAACGGAAGGGCCGCCAAUUGCACUCCGCACAAAAGACAAUGCAUUGAAAGUGUAAUUCUCCGCAGUUUUUUGUAUUUCCUACCAACUUUUCCACCCAAAGGGCCAGCUCUGCGUUGGUGUUUGCCUUUAACCACAAGACUUUCCUUUGGAAUGGGCAACGUGUCGCAUAACCGGCAGAGAAACGGGAAGAGCCCGAGGGCUUCGGAUGGCAGGAGAGAUGGAAGUGGGACUCCUGACCACAACAAAGCUGUCCAGCGGCCACGGGAGAUAGUCGGCAGGAAUGGCCGAGGGCGAUUGUGGUCAAGACACCUGGAACUUUUACAAGUAUCCGCCGUAAGAUGGUUGAAUUUGAAACUGCCAUAAAAUGCAUAGUUAUUUGCCUUUUUCAUAAUUGAAAAAUAUUUAUGAAGUGAAAAUUGCCAUUUAUAAGUAAACAUAACAUUUUACGUUUCCUAUCUUUUACUAUUGCUAUAUGGGUUUACGUCAAUUUUAUGUUGUUUUAACAGCCCGUGUUCAAUAAAAAUUCAAACCCAUUCGAAAACCUCUGACAUUUCUAUCUGAAUAAACACAAUUUGAUUUAAAUAACCCCCCCAAGGUUUCCGCUUACAAACACAUUACACCCACUUUUAUGGUUUUUGCCUAUCAAAUGUAUCCCAAAUCUUAUUUAGAUGAAGUGAUGUAUGAUAAUCACGGACACAACGCCUUUUUAACCAUACCAUAUCAAAGGUAAUACUAUACUAUGCCAACAAGCAAAGCUGCAAAAAAAAAAAAUAUUAAAUUAUACGGCUGAAGGGGAAAAAUUGAGUUGCUGUUACAUUAUAAACGGGCGAAUGAGCAACAACCGCCGCCAACUGCUCCCAACCAAAGAGAGCAGUCAGUUGGCCGGGUUCCAACCUCCAGCGAAGGGCGCCAGUUCAAAAUUUUGCACAGCCCGAGGCUUUUUUGUGGCCUCAUACAAGACACCUUUGCAUAUCGUACACAGCAAAUACUUUCAUUGUUUUCAAGUAAACUUAAAUUGUAACAUCUCCCAUCGCCUUAUGUAUUUUUAGUAGUAGUUCUUCAAAGAUCAAACUGGCUGACCAAAGCAUCGUGAAUUAAGUUCAUAAUAACAAUAAAUCUUUUAUAUUAUUUUAUUUGUGCAGUAGCAUGAUUACAAGAGUUUGUGGAAGCAAAAGAAGCUGAAAGUGCAGCCUGCACCGUCGUUAAGAGCACUCUUUAUAUGCACAUAAUGACUUUUGAUUGCCAUUUGCUUAUUUGGAGCAUUAUUUAAGUUUCAUUAACAAAUACUAAAUUGCUUUCGAAAGUACAACGCCGAGUGAGCAAACGAAUGACUGUCUGAGUGAGUGAGUGAGUCAGUUAGUGAGUUAGUGAGUGAGUGAAUGAAUAUGAGCUCGCUAUUCGCAGACAGUUGCGACAACGUUUGAUUGACGCCGUGGCCAGUUGGCCAGCCAGUCAGUCCGAGGAGUUGGCCAAAUGCGUUGGGUAGAAAUUAACAGGCAAACACUUUCGCUGGCAUUUCUUUUGGCCCGGCAUUUCUAUAGAGAUUUCACGUGCCAAGCAAAAGCCAAAGCCAAAGCCAAAGCCUCCGUUAAAAGGCAGAAAUAUUCAUUUCAUUAAAUUUAAUAUUUUCAUUAGCAGACUUUCAGAUUGCCAGACGGAUCUGCGAAUCUGCGGCUCUGCCAACGGAGAUAAGCCAAUCCAAAAAGGGGUAAGCCGCCACAAUGCUGACAUUAUUGUGACGGCCGGACGGGAAUUUAUGUUUUAAUUACCAACCUCCUUUUUAUCUCUUUGUGAGUGAAUGAAAGUGCGGACUGCUCUCCGACAGCCGCGAAAGGAAAGGAUAAUGGGAUAAUGUCCGUCCGUCCGUCCACUUUCCCAGUUGUCUGCGCCAAAUUUCAGUUAAAUAUAAUGCUCGACAUACAGCUGCAUUUUUAUAUUAUACGCUAUUAACAGAUUUGCACUUGCAUGUGUAUUUUGCUUUCAACUGGAGUACUUCCGCUUGAAUAGGUAUAUUUAAGAGGGUUGCAAAACGUUAACAACCCUAAUAAAAGCAAUUUGAAUGCUGCAAUUUAUUUUUAAAUCACAAUUACACACAUCUAAGGUAUUAGUUUGAAAUUCAUCAUUGGAUUCUCGAACCCUCAGAUCAAAAAAACCCUCGAAAUAUGGGGCGUUCACCUUGCCUCUGUGUUUCGAUUGAAUACUGAAGAUUGAAGAUAACCGAAAGCCGCCGAAAAAAAAUCCCAGUUGAACAAACAAAGAGCAAACAAGUUCGUAUUAACUUUGAUCUUUGUUACACAAUCGAGUCCGCUGACGCAAGUAUCGAAAAUCAAGAGCCGAAAAUCGAAGAGGUAAAAGCCCGCUCGCAUGACCAAGGAAAUCGAUGUUCGAUUCGAGGCGACUUUGGCUAUGGCUAUGGCUUAUAUGGCUUGGCUUAGUUCCGGCAUAAUUUAGCACCAAUUUCUAUUUGCUUUUCACUUGGCUAAUGGGAUGGCGUUUAUGCGCCAAUAUAGCUGGCACCAAGCAAAACAAUUGCCCUGCCAAGAGCAGACCGGGCCAGACAAGAAAAAGGUCAUGGUAAAAUUGGUAAAAUUGAAACUGAAAUUGCACAGCACUUAGAGCGCGAAAGUCGGCAUUGUUGCCGACGCUCUACUCGUAAGUAGUAUCUAUCUAUUCAGAUACAAUCGCAAGGGGGACCAGCGCAUUUGAACUUAAAUUGCAUUGCCAUGGCAAUUUUACAAAUGGCGCAGCAGCAGCAAAACGAGAAGUCUAUUUUUUCCAGCGCCUCCCCAAAAGUUAUAAUUGUUCCAAGAAGAGGGGGGGAUUUCCCUCUGAAGGACGCCAGCUCAGCGGAAAACUUUUCCAUUUUUUUUGGGGCCCAACCUUAAGCAAUUUGAGGCGCGUGCGCUUUUUGUCCGCCCUCAAUGCUCAUUUCCAGCUUUUCUAAUUGGCUUGACAUGCCCCCAUGGGCUUUUGUCUGCACUAACUGCACUUCGAUGUUUGCUUUUCGGCCAGAGACGAAAAUACUCGUAUUUGCAUUUGCCUGCAUUCACAUCCAAGCUGCCGAUGACUUACGGCCCCACAUAUCGUUCGAUAUCGUCCAAAACCCACACAAAAAAAAAGGCUGGCCAACAGCCAACUAGAUUUGUGCCGGUUCAAUGUCUGUGUCCAUUUUCAUUGGCAAAUAUUUCACCAGACUGUCAACAGGCGGCGUCAUAGGAAACCCAAAGUACAAUUUUCACCCGAGCCAUAGAGGUGCCGAGUUGCUUCUUAUAUUCAUAGAAAGUGGGAAGUUAUUAAAGAAAUAAUACAAAUAUUACAUUCUAAGUAUCUUUAUAUCUAUUAAUCACAAAUGUUUCUAUUAAUUGCGCACUUUUUCAUCACUCAAGCUUUCAAUAAACACACAAGUGCUUUGCUUAGAUUUGCUGAUAUCUAUCGAUUGAUAACAAAUAUAGUAAUCUGCCAUAGCACUUGUAAUUCACUUCGUAUAUAUAGACCGCUUAUCUAUCGACUUUAAAAUAUAUUUUUAGUUCCCUGAUAGCCGCAAAGAAACUUAGCUACUAGCAAUCCGAAGUGCCAUUACUAUUUUUGGCUCUGUCUGGCUCAAUCAAUACGACUUACCGGCUGAGCCGUGUAACCAAACUCCAGAGCCAAGUAGACGAAGCCAAUUGUCCUCGAAACACAAAGAGUGAGAGAAACUGCGACACUUUUGGCACUCAUAUAAAAAUAUUUAAACUUGACACUCUUUUGGCCAUUGUCUAUCCGUCUGGCGUUGCCCCCGCAAAACGCAAAAGUCAGUUGACAGUUGGCAGUUGUUUUUUGAUACUGGCUGGGGGCUGGGUAAAUUUGCUUUCGGAGCAGACCCGAAACUAAUUAUAACAGCGACUAUAUGACAAACAACCAAACUAUGUUUAUGUUUUUCGCUUUUCUAUGUACUUGGCGGGCUGCUCAAGGUUCAUGGCUUUAUUAAAUUGCUUUGGCUAAAUAGAGGGUUCAUUAAGUUGUUGGAGCUCCCACAGCGACCCUUUUUGGCAUUGAAAGCAUAGCCAAUUCGUAAAUGGGGGGAAACUCAUUUCCAGUUUCUGCUGCUUUUUCCAUUGAUCGAUUCCGCCUAUUGUUUUUUUUAUUUUGGCACGGAAAUGAAGCCAAUUUAAGAGCAACACCACCAAAAGCCAUACGAUUGAAAAUCUUCUUCGGCUUUAUUUUGGUUUGGUUUUAUUUCAUUUUACCAAAAACUGGUUGCGCUGCGUUUUAAGUAUUUUUCGUAGAAGCAUUUCUGAGUUGUCUUUGGUUUUAUGGCUAAGUCAUAAGCCAAGAUCGCUGAGGGCAAUUAUUCUAGCUGCUAAUUUGAAAAGUGUACGAGCAUCUAGCAGCUAGCAGCUAAGCAUAUAAGCAUCUAAGCAGCCAUGGCACCCAUAAAUCACACUCCGUUUAGCCGGGCCAAGAAUAACUGGCCAAGAAUUUGCGUUUAGAAAGUCAUGGCUAAGAUUUUGAGCAGGAAGCCAAGUCGCGUUCACUAAUUAAAGAGACGGCACAUUGUUACUCAAUAAGCAGUAAAUUCGAGGAACUUAAGUAACCGUUUAGUGGCAGUAGCAAUAUUCAACCAAUUUUUGAAAGUACCAAUGGCAGUAAACAGAAACUAAGGAAUUGUAGUGCAAGAUAUUCGUAAAAGUAAUGCGAAUUUCACAUUUGCGAAUUUCAACUUAAAGCUUUACUAAAAGAAAGACUUAUUUAAAUACUUAAAAGAGCAUCUUUCAGUUUUUGUUUGCUGAUAAUGUUACUAACAUUAACUUCUAACAUUAUUACUUUACAAACCACCUAAUUAACUAUUUUCCCAUCUAAAAUAUUUCAAAAUAUAUAUUUCUUCAACGGUUGUGCCACUGUGCUUUUAAUAGUUCCUAGGCGGCGCCAACAAAUUGGUUUUUUAUUUUGUUUACUGGCCUCCGGGCGAAUAGCUACCAGAGUCAGAGAGUGAGCAUAAUUAGGAGCCUGGCCACUUGGCCAUUUGGCUAUUUGGCCACUUCGUCUGCGAUCUCCGCGUGAACUGAGCAGUUGAGGAGUUGAGGAGUUGAGGAGCUGAGGAGGACCAAAAGCCGUAGAGUAAAGAUGCCUUUCAGGUGCACUCGAGGAACGCACUUGCCGCAUGAAUUGCACUUAUUCGGGGCAUUCGAGAGGCGAGUUAACCGGCGGAUUGUGUUCAUAAGCACUCGGCUAAUGAGGCAGAAACAGCGCUGGUAUUCCCAGCAUUUCCAUUAGCUUUAUGUAACACAAGCACAUUCAGCGUUUACCUUCAUUGAAUGUAAUGUAAUGAAAUGGCUGGAGAACGUCAGCCAACAACCUUGCUGGUUUUCAGUUUAAGCUGAUGAUGAUGAUGGUGAUGAUGAUACCGACCAAACCCAAAUCCAAAUCCAAGUAAACCCAAGCCUAUUAGAGAGGCGCUGUGGCAUUUGCAUGGCCGUGGCCAGCUGAAUGCGACUAUAAUCGCCGCAAUUGAACAGCGAGCGGCGGCUUUCGAGGUUUAGGAACUCAGAUCUGCUGACAGGGGCAAAUAAUUUCGAGGAACACAAGCCAAAAUAAGACUACCAGACUAACCGUGGAGAACAGCGAACACCGGCUUUGGUUUAACAAUUCAAUUAGAUGGGUUCACUCACUUACAGUGUGCAGCUGGCAUCAAAUUGAAAGAGAUACGAGGCAGCUGAUUAGUUAGUUUCCCGGUUAGUUGGCCCAGCCUCGCAGUCAAAAGGGCAAAGAUGUGCAGAUUAUCUUUUUAUUUCUUGACGCAGGGUUAGUUAAUCCAAACAACCAUCAAAACUGACUUAACUUGCAAGCUCAGUUAAGCAACUUUAAGCUUGUAACAAGCAAUUAAAUACUUUAAAGUUAAAUACAGUAAACAGUUUCAGAAAAAACCCCAAAGCUAAUGCUCACCUUUUUAGCAUCGAAUUAUACUUCCAAAUUUAAGCAAAAAAGCAACAGUUUGAAGAUAAAAAAGAACAUCAUAUUCUUGGUCACGACUUUGUUGGCCAACACAAAAGCAUUCGAUGAUGAUCUAUAGAGUUUGGUCACAAUAGGCCAAAAAGCAGCACAACCAAACAACCAGUAGGCAAAAGUGCAUUUUGACAAUUCCCCUCAGUUAAAGACACGGCAAUUUAUUAAUUUUCCAAAUUGAAAUUAACAAGAAACCAACUACAAGCAACUAAUUAGACUAGCGCAUGAUAGCUGGCAGUAACCAGUUUCCUUAACUCAUUGAUAAAAAUAACACAAACAAACUUGGCUUACAAAAACAGUUAACAGAUAGCUCCAAACAUGGCCAUGUGAUGCACUGUCACUGCAAAAGCGCCAUAAAAGACUUGUUUGCAUGCUGGCCAGCCUCUAGACUUCGUUUUUCUACGACUAUUUACCAGCCGGAGCGCAGAAACCUGGCAAAAAUAAUAUGGAAAAAAUUAAGAAAAAGAAAAAACACACACACACUAGCUAUUCGAAAGGCUAUUAGAGACGGAGAGACGGCGGCCGGCGAUUCAGUGGUUAGCUUUAAAUGAGGACGACGACUAAUAUCCAUGCCGAUCGAUAAAUGCGGCCGCCAAUAACUGGAAAUACACAUCAAGUAUACGACGCGCUGACAACGACACAUUUGCGGUUCACUGGGUAUUUGGGGUGUGGAAGUCGAACUUGUUGGCUUGUCCGUUCGUCUGUCCGUCCGUCCGUUAAUAGCUGGGCGCAGUCUCUAGCUGCUCGACAAUGUUUUCGGAUGGGCCAGUUAGGGGUUUGCCGUGCUUGGGUCUGCGGUUAGCCCCCCAGUUUUCCAAGUUUUCCAUUCCCCACUUCCACAUGUCCCCGGGUUUUAGUGAAAAUACUCCUUAGAUGACUCAGACAUGAGUGUGGUAAGUGAGAAGUAUUCAGGAAGGUUUCGAUGCUUUGCAGGAAAUGAGAGGUUUACAAAUUGGGGUUGAUAAGACACAUUCGUUUAAUCCUAUUGUGAAAGAACUAACUGGCGUAAUGUUACCCCAAAUUGACACAUAUACUGGCCGCUCUUGAUCAGAACAUUCGUUUGUAUUAUCUUGAUAAUCUCUCCUCGUAAUUACUGUAUACGCUGCGGGUUCGUUGACCUAUUGAAAAGGCCAUGGCUGUGCAUAAUUCAUAAUUCAUAAUGAAAUUGUAUAGUACGUGGAAGCUUUCUUUGUGGAGGUCAUAAAUUUUCCGCUUUAACUGAGCUCCCAUGCCAAGGGGACACCUUAGGCGGCGCCAUAUGGGCAAAGUCAAGCACCAAAAGCAAAAAACAAUAUAUAAAAAAAAAAAAAAAGUAUACGUACAGAAAAAGCCAAAAUUGAAAUACGAGCGCAAGAAUAUCGAAGUAUCUGAGAAGCGGACAACAAGAAGAUGUUGUGAGUAGAAGCCCAAGUAGUCAGCGAGCACAGACAAGUGACUGCAAAAAACUUGUCAAACUGGUAAAAAUGGCCAAGCCAGAGAGCUACCAAAAAAAAAACCCAAGGCACAUACAAUACGAAACAAAAAAUGUAAAAGAAAACCUUAAAAAUCAACAACAGCAGAGGAUGCUGGCCACUUUUAACGACGAUGACCUUGGCGACGGCAGAAACUCCGCUGCCGCUUGCAACUUGUUGCAAGCUAGCGACAGCUGGCGUUGCAGACACCUGAGACAUAGAGAAUCUGCACCCGCUGCCCCCCGCAGCAUCGCACACAACAGGUACGGCCAAGAGAAUAGUACCAAGAACUUGAUAUGAUAUGCGUGGGAGUUUCCAGCAACUAAUUAAGAUGAUCAAGGAGCGCUCUUUCUACAUUAUUUAAAGAUUUAUAUUUGAGCAAUAUUAUAGUGUCUUAAUAGAACAAUUCUUUUUAUAAUGAUGCUUUGUUAUAGAUCAAUACAAAUAAUAUUAUAUAUUAUUAAUUUAUAUUAUUAUGCGGUAAAGUUGUACUACAAUCCAUACAAUCCAAAUCUCUUUUAUAUAAAUAAGUUCUAAGGCUCUACAAAUUUAUGCUCAGCUGUAUAUCCCCCAUCUUGAAGGAGUUACCUUCUUUUUCUCAUGAAUUUUACGGUAAAUUUAGGUCGUUGCUGCAACAACAGCAGCUGACUUGUUUACAUCGGCUUUUCCCCAAAACGGCGGACUUUGCCAAUAACUUGACUGUCUGACUCGCUGGCUGGCUGGCUAAAUAUAGACAUAGACAAGCGUUUGGCCAUGUUUCUGCUUGGAUUUCCUGGCCAAACACACAUCAGGCUACAUCGCAUCGCCAUCGCCAUCGCCAUUGCCAUCAUAUCAUCAUCCUCAUCCUAGGCAUCCAUCGUGUGCAGUAUUUGAUUUGAUCAAUUUUUGAAAACUACACUUUCAUCCGUUUCCGUUUCGUGGGGAAGUGGCUGGCUUGUGGCCAGCAGGCGGACUUAUUUCUUUGCGGAUUUAUCCUAUUUGGGGCAUGACACAAAUUUGGCAAGCAUCCACGUAAAUGUGGUUUGAGUGAAGCUUGAGUUUAUGUUUGUCUGGCUGGCGCUGCCUUGUUUUCUUGCCAGCAAUUUAACAAUUAAAAACACGCGCUCUUUUCGGCUUCCACCGGAGCGACCGUCAUUAACUCGUUAAUCCACGCGAAAAUAAUUUAUUAUAAUUGCACAUAUACAUUUUUGCUCAUUUUCUGCGAUUCGCAUGAAACAUAAAACGACAGCCAAGCUCCUUGGUCAGGCACCGCUUGGUUGCCCAAUAAAAUGUGUAAGUCUUCUGAAUACCCUGGCCCACAGAAGGGUAUAUAAGAGCAAGGAAUUGCGAUGCACUUUAAAAGAUAUAUAUAUUUUAUAGCUAUUGUUUCCCCUUACAACGCAACUAAAUGCCCGAAAUGAAAUGCUCCUUUUAGUUUGGCGCACGUAGUUUGGAUAACCGCUUUUAUUACUUCUUAUAAACAUCCAAUUUCAGUUUCAUAUUAAAUGUUAAGCAAUCUGCAAAAUGUUGAUCACUUGACUCAAUCGGAGAUCUAUUAAAGCAACGAGAUUCAAAACAAGUCUUGCCGUAAACAAGUUUUGAUUUCUAAUAAAACUCAAAACGAGGUUUCCACCACCUAAUUCAGAUAGGGUAUUUUCAAGUCGACAUGUUCUUUCUUACCAUCAUGACGCAAGGCUAUUUUAUUCUGGCCAGUAUGACACAAGACGGAAAAUCGUUAACUCACGUUGCAUUGUGAACUCACCUGCAAAAAAAAAAUGAAGAGAGAUAUGAUUAGGUUGCUUCAAGAUAAAUAGUUAAAUUCACGAUAAAAUUCUUGCUUGCUAAAAAUUCUUUUAUAAAUAACCUUCUGCAAUCAUAGCUUGAUUAGAAUGAGAACGAUAAAAAUCAUUUUCUUACAAUUAAACUUUAGAAGAAAUGCUUAGUUUUCAGAUUCAAAACUAUUUGGUAUAUUACAUUUUAUUUAAAUCCUAUGGAUAUCAUUUAGUAACCAUAACAAAACUUGACGUUUAAAAAGAGCUCAUGAUCAGCAAUGAAUGCCCGAUACACAUUCAUGACGAAUUGUUUUCCAUAGCCGACAAAUAUCGUAAUAUCUAGACGUUUAUGAUGCCAAAUUGUUUACAACAGUUGGCGGCGUAUACAUCAACAUCAAAUGCUGCGCAAGACAAAGCACAUUUUUGGCAAAAGGCCAAGGGAGAUGUGGUGAAACUUCAGGAGGAGCACUCUCCCAAAGUCCGUGCACAUUUCAAUUUGGCAGCCGGUUUGCAUAUAAGUUAUAACAUAGACGGAUCAUUAGGCAGCUGGCCAGGCAGAGCAGCCGAGCACACACUCUGGAUUUGUUAUAACGCCGCGCUAACCAAGUGUGUGUAUACAAACAAGCAUACGUAUGUAUGUAUGUUUGGCAGGCGGUGUGUGUGUUUGGAGAAAGUCGGAAGCUCAAGGCACAAAACAGCUGAAAAAGCUGAAAAAAAUUGAAGAAGCGGCCAACUGCAGACCCCAUGAUGAUGGAGAUGAUGAUGUUGCUGAAUCCCAAUCUGAAUCUGUUGGCAAACAAAGCGCAAACAGCAGGCAAAGUUAAUCUUGGCCAAUAAGUGGAGCACACACACACAUGUGGCCAUUGGACAUUGGCCAUUGGCCAUUGCAGUUUUUUGCAUAACCAAAGGCUCCGUUGAACCGAAACUCAUUUGUAAAAUGUGCAUGACCAUUAUUUUUAAUUGAAAACGAAAAUGAAAAAUAGAAAGCAAAACCAACUAGAUCCAAACAAAAUGAAAUACAAUGCAAAAACAUUUGUUAACUCUUGCGGUUUUAAUUAAAAACUCGAGUAGUCCUGGUCAUUUCUCAAGUGUCAUGUCUUUAUUACCACUCCACUUGGGCGGGGUCAAAUCUUUCCUGGAUCGACAGCUCCCACGCCCAGUUAAAUGACGCUUUAAUUGCGAUAAAAACCAACAGAAAUGCUGCUUACGGGAUACGGGAAACCACUUUCCGAAGAAUAAUGGGAAAAUAAUGCCUCUAAUUAUCAUUAGUAAGUAAUUUUAAAGAGCUCGGGAAGAACAUCCAACUAUGACGUUCCAGAAUCUCGCCAAAGAGAAAACCAGCCGCCGAAAAAGAAAAAAAAAAAAAACAGGUAAAACAAAGACAUAAAGGUGAGGGAGGUGGUACUUCCUACUCCCACAAACGGUUGUCAUUAGUCAGAACAGAGGCAGCAACCUCAACCUCAACCUUAAACACAACCACAGCAGAUAUAUAAGAUAUAACGUUGCAGUGGCACCAACGGCAUCGGGAAAAAUAGAAAGCCGUCGCGGCGAGAAAGCCAAAAAGAACUUAACACAAUUUACACUCACGAACGCUUUUCCUACUUAAGCGUAAGAACUGGAAAAUGAUCUGCGGAUUCGAGUGAAUAUCAUCUAUGUGUCUGUGUAUGUGUGUGUGGAGAUGACAACCGCAAGUAGGGGUGUGUGUGUGUGUGUGUGUGUGUGUGUGUGUGUGUGUGUGUUUGGUGCAGCUCCAAUUGCGAAUUAUCGCACAGAUACACAAAUGCCACCGACCGCGAAACCCAAAACGAGCUCACGUACGCAUUUCCCAGCUGGAAAAGUAUUAGAAAUAGGUACUGUCACUGCCAAACACUUAACUUAUUCGAUGUAAUAAUCUAGAAAGCCCACUUAAGCCGUAUCGAAUAUCGCGGAUAUAUAAAUAUUAUGUCAUUUGAACGUGGUGUAGAGGUCUUUAAAAUGGGAGAUUGUGGUUAAAGCUAGUCUAAAUCAAGAUUGAUAUUAUCAAAUUUAUAUACAUACAAGGAUUCUUAGUUUCAUUAUUAAUUCUAACCCAUUUUCAAAUAUCCCAUAACUGAUGCAGAACCUAAAGAAUAUGUAUUCAAUGUAGAAUAGCCGGAUCUACAGUGCGUUCCUACCAAAAUACCGAGGAAAAGUCAUGGAGAAAUCUCGGUUAUGAAGCGCUAAUGCGCUCAAUUAACCUGCACAGCUCCAAUUGCAGUUGCAUUAACUAUUAAUUUUCUCUUUCAUUGUUCUGCUCUCUGGGCCAGUCUUAAAUGUAAUUACAAUCGUUCUGAUGAUGAUCGGUCUGCGGGUCGGUCACACAUGCGUAGAGAUGCGUUGCGCUUGAGUAUCUAAGAGAUACAUAGACUACAGAUGCCUACACUACUUCUUGCCAAUUAAGAGUGUGAAUUUUAAGCCAUAAAACUGUUGCUGCAACGGACCGUCGUUGCUCGUUGUCAUUGUUGUAGUCGCUGUAUCCGAUUUUUUCGGGUGAAAGUUUUGUUCUGAGCGACCUAAAGAUGCUGUUUUUGUUACAGAUUUUUCUUUGCCUUUAUUUUUUUUCUUUGUAUGUCAGUUGGGUCUGAACAACUUCCUAGACAUAAUUAGCUCACUCGCAUAUCUUAUCGUGGCGAAUAGUUCACAUGAGCUGGCUCAAAUCAAAUGAAUCUACAAGCCCGUAGAAAGUUCCAAAGUAUCUGCAAGAUACCAGUCGCAGCAGCAGGAGAAGCGAACGUUGCCUGAGUAAUCAUCUUAAUUCACAAUAAUUGCGCAAAUGAAAUUGAAAAGCUCCAGAGAAUGCUCGAUGGUUAAUGGUAACCAAUUCGGGAGACAAGCCCUCCGCUUGCCAGUUUGCACACAAAGAAAAGUUUAUACAUUUUUGAAAUAUCAAAUAUAUCAAAACCAUGUUCUUUUAUUUAUUAUUAUCUAACUAGAAUUGAGUGCAUUAAAUCUAUCUGUUUUUUAGAUUUCUGUACAAUCUUGAUAAGGUUUCGUCAGUCCCAUCGCGUUUAAAAUGACAUUGUUAUUUUUGGUGGCUUGUUAUUUUUCUGAGUGUGCCUAACCUGAGUGACUGACUGACUCAGUGAGCAAUCCGAAAGUGCAAACAUUCAACACUGGUGGCACCAGCUGGACGACGAUUGCCUCGCGGACAGGCGCAACCAUCAGCGGAUUGCGGAGUCGCGUUUGUUUCUAAUUUUCUUCUUUUUUUUUUCUCAGUUUUCAGUUUUUCUUUUUUUGGGGCGUGCGGCGGUGGCUGGAGCACUAUUUGCAUGGCCUGGCACACAAUAGACAGAGUGGGAGAGCAGGUGAAAAGUGUCCGACAAAGAAAACAAACCUCGGAUCUGUUGAAUGGCGGCGGCUGGCAGUAUCCAAGCAGUAUCCAACCAGUAUACGUACCCCUGCCAGUGCAAUUUCAUAAUGGCGUCGUCAGGCCAAGAUCGCUGACGACAUUACAGUUAGCCAAGAUGCAUCUUGGCCCGAUUGCAGGCCCAACUGCCUUAUUUUCAGUGCCUGGUCUGCUUCUCUCUCUAGUUUUUCUGUUGUCUAUCUGUCUGUCUGUUUGGGGUGCCUAUCUGUUUGUCAUGCCCUUUCCAAAAAAGGUUGUCGCUGGCUUUUAUAGCAGACAUUGCAUAGAUCAUACAUUGGGCAAUUUAAAUGCAAUUUGAAAACCUUUGAACUCGCAUUUGCCGUUGUCAAUUUACGUUUUUCGUAAAUUAAAAAUUGACCAAAAAUAGGAAGGCUUUUAAAUUGAUUUGUAAUGAAUUUCAAGCUAUUUAAUUAUUUUGUUGAAACAUGUAAAAUUCCAAGACAGCAUUUAUGGGUUUCUUUGAGCCUUUUAAAGCUUGAAAAAACCAUGGAUUACAAACGGAAAGAGGGUAUUGAGUGUUCUUAGGGAGUUUCAAACAUUUUCUUUGGCCAGCAAUCAUCUAUCAAUUUUUUUUCGUUUCUGUUGUCUGACCAAAAUAUGAUCAAUUGUAGCCAUAGUUUUUUCAGUUGGUUGGUUGCUGCUGCCACAAUUGUGGCAGUUGUUGUAGUUGUGAGCCGAUCUUUGGAACAAUAAGCGAAUAUUGUUCGCAAAUGCGAAAUAAUAAUAAUGUUCAGCACUCAAAAUUGAGCCAUGUUACCGCAUCGACAACAGGCGGCAGUUGUUGCCGAUGUUGCUGGUGUUGUUGGUGUUGUUGGUGUUGCUGCUGCUGCCUUUUGCAAGUUGCAACAAUAAUUGAGCUCUUGGCUGGCUUUUGGUUUUUGUCUCGUUUUGUAAUUGCCAUGCAAAAAGGAAACACAAACGGACAGCUUCAAUGCAUUUGUAAUUACAUUUGAUUGCAACAAUUAUUUAAAAAUAAAAAAUCACAAAACCAAAAUUGGCCAGCAAUAAAAAACCGUGUGGCAUCAAAUGUAGCAGCUCCUUGAAUGUGUAAAAACCAAGUGAUGUUAUUAAAAACACAUCAUUCUCAAUCAGUGAGAAGCGAAACUGAAGUUUUGCUAACAAUCAGAACCCAAAAAAGCCAGACUUAAUUAAGAUCUGCUUUUUGCUCUAGAAAUGAGGUCAUCAUCAUAUCCGCAACGGCUGUCAAUUUGCGUUUGCCUCCGUCUGAUGAUGAGGUAUUACCCAGGUAUGUUUCAGUGUCAUAAAGUUUUUGCCAUUCGGUGGCAUUGGCCCAAAAGGCCCCGCUGGCAACACGCCACAAAACGGCGGUGAGGUAUUAUUAAUUAAAAGGGAAAUGCUGCCACUGGCCAGUCGUUAAAAAGUGAGUAAUAAAGGUGUUUCCUACUUUAACGACUAGCGAAUAGACACUGCAGGUCACUAUUUGGAUAGUGAAAUAAAAGCGAAAAGUAAAACAAUGUAAUUAGCCCUAAGGACUUUGGAUUUAUGAGUAUAUUAUUUUGUACUGCAAAGAAAGGUUUCUUUAGCGUUUUCUAUCCCAACAAAGAAAUCAAACAAUCUUUUCAUAUAUUUAAGUGACCCAACCUUAUAUGAAUAACAAAUGGCCACAGCACACUUAUUCAUAUGAAAUGCCACGGAACCAAUGACCAUUUCAUAUUCAUAACCAGUGACGCAGACAGCUCUAUAAGAAGGUCUAUUUUUGCCGCGGAAUGUAUCUAUAUCAGUCUAGCCGAAGUGCCUACGCGUACGUUCAUAAAUGUGCCAAAAAAUAAAAGAGCAAUAUCGAAAAAGUCAAAAGUAAAGCCAUUCAAGAAACCUAUUCAAAUGUUUAUGUGACUUUAAUUACGUGACAGCGCACUUGGAAUGAAACAACAUUGAAAUCCUAUUAAAUAUGUAUGCACUUAUGGCCGCAGCACACACACACACACAAACACACGGACAAGUGUAAGCGAUUGACACAGAUACUCGCACCCUGAGAUACACAGAUACAUCCACCGAUUGCCGGAUAGUUGGAGAAAUAGAGAGGGCGCUCUAAACAUCCAAACAUGGACUCACUAGCGAACCAUAGCCAAAAACCAAGUUUCGGAGGUGACGCAAUUUACAAAUAGUUGCGAGCGCAAAAUUUGUAUUUGCACACAAAAUUCUACAAAUACAAAUAACAAAUAACAUUCGCCCGGUGGCCGUAGCGGCAGUAGCUAACAGUAUCUUACGGAUACAUAUGUGCAGAGCAAAGAGGAAAGCGACUACACGGAGAGAAAUGCAGCAUAUACAAAUUGCUAAGCCAACCAAAUAAAAACGACCUUUAUAUUUAAACAGUACAUUAUUUUUCAAAAUUUUAAUGUAUGCAUCUAUUUCGAAUCUUUUGAUAAAGCACCUUGAUAGAGCACCUUUUUUCAAAGUACCGAAGGAAGCAUUGGUUUGCUAAGACCUGGACAAGUAAGCCCGGUACGCCGUUCAAGUGUCCGUCAUCGGAUUGAAUCGCAACGAAUCGAAUCGCGUCGAAUCGCAUUGAAUCGCAUGUGGCAAGGUGUAAUUUACCCUUCAAUCAAUGCGCAGCAAAUCAGUUGGCAAUGUGCUGUGCGCAGGCGCACCUCGAUGGUCCCCCCUCCACGCUUUCCGAAUCAGUUGGCAGCACAUUUGGGUUAACAAUUGGUUAACUGUAUACCGGCCAUAUCGGGGCUUGUGGCUAUAUUUAUAUAGCUGCGCAUGUCUGUGUGUGCCCAAUGACUAACUGGGCGCAAGGUGGUUUUUAUACUCGGUUAAAAAAGCAUUAAAAACUUGUGUGCAAGUCGGCAGUGCAGGAGGAAAGCCAGAGCCACCAAAGAUACCACUUGGUAUUUAUGUAUACAACAUAAGUGACUAAUCGGAUUUCUAUGAGGUAGUUGCCUUCCAUAUUUGAGAGCUGCUCGAUAAAUAUGACAUUAAACGAUAUAGUAAUUUUAGGCCAAAGAGGGACAAGCUACUACAUUUUAAUAACUUCCCAAUUGCUAACCAAUUGAUUUCAGGCAAAGUACAUCUCAUUCCCUAAAACACUUCCUUAUAUAUAAAGCCCGUUCAAUUAAUCAAUUAUUUUUAAUUAUUACCUUUAUUUAAAUGUAUUGCCGAAUGAUUAAUUAUUCGUUUCGGGGUAUUUUCUAAAAUGAAUUAAUUAUUUAAUUGUCAGAAACAUCGUUUACAUUUCCUCAUUCGGUCAACUUUAGGCCACCUUUUUUGCGUUAACUGUUUGGCUUUAACGCAAAGAGUUAACCAAAAAUACAGUAAAGGAGAAAAAUAACAGACAAUGAGAUGUUGAUCAUGUUGUAGUUGGCAGGUUAACAAGCAACCCGAGCAGCCUUAGAUAAAUCGCGAGACAAGUCAACAAACCCGGUCGUCGAGUCAACAACAUGGUUGCGCUUCAAGGCAGCCAAGGAGAAAUGGUUUCCUUUUGGCCAAUUCAAUUGGAUGACGGCCAAACAAUGCGUCCAGUUUGGACAAACAUUUGCAACAGAGCAGCAAACCCAUUUCAUGCCCAUUCCAACUUCCCACGUUGCACGGCAGGUAGCCGCAAAAACUUGUAGAACGUGCUGGUAAAAAUGGUAAGAAAUGGUAAAAAUAGCCAUGCAGCCGUUUGAAGCAACAAAUUUUCAAGUUUAAAUCUAAAUGUGGCAGUAAAUCGUGCCCGGCCGGCAAACGAAGAUGAAGAUACUGCCAAAGUCCAAGCUCCAAGAAAGCCCGGCUCUUAGAAAUUAGAAGCGUGCUGAGGGCAGACUGUCCGGGGAUGGUAAUCAUCGUUGUAAUCAGUUUCUUGAAUGGGGUCACUUUGGUCCAAUAAUGAACCGAAUUUCCACAAAAUGUUUGUCACACUUUUGACAUUUUGCACGACUCGCUUGUCGACCGAAAAUAGUUCCCAAAAAUAAAUGAAUCGGGAAUGAGAAUUGAGACAGCGACUGCCAUUCACUGAGCACGCAAACUCGCCACAAAUGAAAUGCAGUUCGUCUUGCUCUGUUGUACAAUGCGGCGUAUGCGCAAUGUCUGGUUGUCGCCAAGUUUGAUUUCAGUUUAUAAAGCGGUUGUGAAGUCGAGUGAGUUAUUACUCCUCAAACAAUUAUAUAUACUUAUAUUCUUAUUUUUAUAUAUAUUUAUUUUCAACAGAAAGGUUUAAAACAUUGUAGUAUAUUAUGUAUGAAAAAACAUCGCUGAAUAAAAAUGUAUAUCUAUAGAACAUUGCUUUAUAUUGUAAAUAUAAAAAUAAACUAAAAUAUAUAAGAAAUUCAAAUUUAACUCGAUUGAUCAGAAAUCGAAAGAAUAUUUAGAAAAUCAUUUCAGGCAGCAAAGUAUUGACUUUUAAACUUAAGAGUUUGAAAGGAAAGUGGGGCGCGACUUUUUAACGCACUUGGCAAAGUUCACAAGUGCUCGCAAGAGUCAAGUGUCGCCAGAAAGGCAAAGAGUAUAGAAAAUGAGCAAGGGAAGCAUGUGGGAAACGAAGAAUCAUCAGACCGGCAUUCGGCUGGUUGUUAAAUUUAAAACUUUAAUGUCAUGCACGAAAGAAAAUGU